UACGUAGGUGACAAGCGUUGUCCGGAUUUACUGGGCGUAAAGAGCGCGCAGGCGGUCGUUCAAGUCGAGUGUGAAAGCCCCCGGCUCAACUGGGGAGGGUCAUUCGAUACUGAUCGACUCGAAGGCAGGAGAGGGAAGUGGAAUUCCCGGUGUAGUGGUGAAAUGCGCAGAUAUCAGGAGGAACACCGGUGGCGAAGGCGGGUCUCUGGGCCGAUACUGACGCUGAGGAGCGAAAGCGUGGGGAGCGAACAGG
RNAcentral lists this ribosomal RNA (253 nucleotides) under uncultured bacterium. RNAcentral's name for it is "partial 16S ribosomal RNA". It matches the Rfam family "Bacterial small subunit ribosomal RNA", at positions 524 to 776 of the family's 1533-position model. The record is from RNAcentral.